Molecule: ribosomal RNA, 479 nt
Filed under: uncultured bacterium
Lineage: Bacteria
Description: bacterial SSU rRNA
Rfam family: Bacterial small subunit ribosomal RNA
Source: RNAcentral
AGUGAACGCUGGCGGCGUGCUUAACACAUGCAAGUCGAACGAGAACGGAUUAUAGCUUGCUAUAAUUGUCAGCUAAGUGGCGCACGGGUGAGUAAUGUAUAGGUAAUAUGCCUCUUACUAAGGGAUAACAAUUGGAAACGAUUGCUAAUACCUUAUACUCCUUAUUAACCUAAGUUAAUAAGGGAAAGAUUUAUUGGUAAGAGAUUAGCCUGUAUUGUAUCAGUUAGUUGGUGGGUAAUGGCCUACCAAGACUAUGACACAUAACUGGUUUGAGAGGAUGAUCAGUCACACUGGAACUGAGACACGGUCCAGACUCCUACGGGAGGCAGCAGUGGGGAAUAUUGCACAAUGGACGAAAGUCUGAUGCAGCAACGCCGCGUGGAGGAUGACACAUUUCGGUGCGUAAAACUCCUUUUUAUAUGAGAAGAUAAUGACGGUAUUAUAUGAAUAAGCACCGGCUAACUCCGUGCCAGCAGCCG